This 108-nucleotide ribosomal RNA is filed under the name Pteropus alecto (black flying fox). Lineage: Eukaryota; Metazoa; Chordata; Mammalia; Chiroptera; Pteropodidae. The record is from RNAcentral.
GUCUAUGGCCAUGCCACUCUCAACACGCCCAAUCUCAUCUGAUCUCAGAAGCUAAGCAGGUUAGUACUUGGAUGGGAGACCACCUAGGAAUACCUGGUGCUGUAGGCU